GCAUAAUCAAUAGUUUUUUAAUUGAAGACUGGGAUGAAGGGUAGAAUCUGAAAGGAAAGUUUUAUUAAUAUAAUUUGAAUUUUAAUUAAAAGUAAAAAUGCUAUUAUUAUUUCUUGGGACGAGAAGACCCUAGAAGCUUAAAAGUUAAUAUUUUUUUAUUGGGGUAAUAUUUGAAGAAAAAAUUUUUGGAGUAUAAUGGUAUAUUAUAUUAGUUACUCUAGGGAUAACAGCGUAAUUUAUUUAGAGAGUUCUUAUCAAUAGAUAAGUUUGCGACCUCGAUGUUGAAUUAAAA
Molecule: ribosomal RNA, 292 nt
Filed under: Yania metatarsalis
Lineage: Eukaryota; Metazoa; Arthropoda; Arachnida; Opiliones; Cranaidae
Description: partial 16S ribosomal RNA
Source: RNAcentral